Long non-coding RNA from Sphaeramia orbicularis (orbiculate cardinalfish), 194 nucleotides. RefSeq lists it as uncharacterized. The transcript is spliced from 3 exons. The record is from RefSeq and is a predicted model, not a curated record. NCBI's taxonomy places the organism in Eukaryota, Metazoa, Chordata, Actinopteri, Kurtiformes, Apogonidae.
CCGGCCCACUGCAGAUCAAAUUGGGCUGAAUGUGGCCCUGGCUUAGACAAACAACAUUUUUACACAUAAUGGUUUACAAAUUUGUCUCACAGGUUAUGUAAAUGUGCCAUUUUUCCCAAACUUUUUCACCCAGUUCUUUCUGAAGUCGUAUUAUAUAAAUGUGAUGAGAUAUUUGGACUAGAAAUGAGAAAAAU